ACGCUAGCUACAGGCUUAACACAUGCAAGUCGAGGGGAAACGACAUCGAAAGCUUGCUUUUGAUGGGCGUCGACCGGCGCACGGGUGAGUAACGCGUAUCCAACCUGCCCACCACUUGGGGAUAACCUUGCGAAAGUAAGACUAAUACCCAAUGAUAUCUCUAGAAGACAUCUGAAAGAGAUUAAAGAUUUAUCGGUGAUGGAUGGGGAUGCGUCUGAUUAGCUUGUUGGCGGGGUAACGGCCCACCAAGGCUACGAUCAGUAGGGGUUCUGAGAGGAAGGUCCCCCACAUUGGAACUGAGACACGGUCCAAACUCCUACGGGAGGCAGCAGUGAGGAAUAUUGGUCAAUGGACGAGAGUCUGAACCAGCCAAGUAGCGUGCAGGAUGACGGCCCUAUGGGUUGUAAACUGCUUUUAUAAGGGAAUAAAGUGAGUCUCGUGAGACUUUUUGCAUGUACCUUAUGAAUAAGGACCGGCUAAUUCCGUGCCAGCAGCCGCGGUAAUACGGAAGGUCCGGGCGUUAUCCGGAUUUAUUGGGUUUAAAGGGAGCGUAGGCCGGAGAUUAAGCGUGUUGUGAAAUGUAGACGCUCAACGUCUGCACUGCAGCGCGAACUGGUUUCCUUGAGUACGCACAAAGUGGGCGGAAUUCGUGGUGUAGCGGUGAAAUGCUUAGAUAUCACGAAGAACUCCGAUUGCGAAGGCAGCUCACUGGAGCGCAACUGACGCUGAAGCUCGAAAGUGCGGGUAUCGAACAGGAUUAGAUACCCUGGUAGUCCGCACGGUAAACGAUGGAUGCCCGCUGUUGGUCUGAAUAGGUCAGCGGCCAAGCGAAAGCAUUAAGCAUCCCACCUGGGGAGUACGCCGGCAACGGUGAAACUCA
This 880-nucleotide ribosomal RNA is filed under the name uncultured bacterium. Its description in RNAcentral is "bacterial SSU rRNA". It matches the Rfam family "Bacterial small subunit ribosomal RNA", at positions 33 to 903 of the family's 1533-position model. The record is from RNAcentral.